Sarcophilus harrisii (Tasmanian devil) is the source of this 1027-nucleotide long non-coding RNA. RefSeq lists it as uncharacterized. The transcript has 3 exons. The record is from RefSeq and is a predicted model, not a curated record. Lineage: Eukaryota; Metazoa; Chordata; Mammalia; Dasyuromorphia; Dasyuridae.
GAGGCCCUGCCCAAUGGCCAGAAACCCCCAAUCAUCAUCACGCUAUCGGUAACAAUGGGCAUUUACAGAGGCUUCAGGUUCCCAAAGCACUUUGGGUGGUAACGCAUUUGACUUCUGACUCACAAGUGCGGCUUCACUUCCAUGUCCCUAACGGGCAAGAGUGUCAGAGCAGCAAAGACUCUGCCGGAGGCAGGCUUUGAAGGAGGCUGUGCGAGCGGGGGCCACGGUGGAGCACGGAAAGGCCAAGCUGAAGAGAUUGGCCUGCAGAGAGCUCUUCCAAAGCUCAAAUUCUGGGAUUCUUUGAAGUGGCAGCAGAGAGCUUGCUUGGAUCGGAGUCAGGUGAUGGAGGUCUGAAUUCCAGGGCCCACAGAGAGCCGGCUGGGCGAUCAUAAGGAUCUCUCCCUGAUGAAAGCCUGGAAUCAUGUCUUCUCUUCUCUUACAAGUGGAAACUUAAAGAAGGAUCUCUCCUUUCUCAAGCUCUCACCAACCCUGCCCCUCACACGGGAAUGAAACACCCAGUAAUCAAUCAUUCUCCAUCAAUGAGAAGUCUGGCUUAAACCUGGCUCACAGGAGGAUUUUCAGUCAGAGGGAAGGAGCCAAGUCAUUCCCAGCCAAGAAGAUGCUAGGAAUAAAACAAAGGAAAGAAUGGGCGUGGAACGUUACCUAAAUGGAGCAGAGUCAUAACUGCUGGUUUUCCUGGGCUGCUUUAAACUUUGCAAAGUGCUCCCCAGAACUCCCAUUUGGAACUCACAGCCCCUCUUUAAAGCAGAUGCUGCAGGUCUCACUCUCCUUUUGUAAAUGAGGAAACAGAUCCAAAGAGAGGGUUCUUCCCUGUGGUCACACAGCUGGUAACACGGGCUGGAUUUAAUCCAUGUCUUUUGGAAGGUUUACUCCAGCAGUGGUAAAACUCAGAGCAGUGGAGACCACUAAACCACACGUGGCAGCCUGGGAGUCACAGCGCCGUGUGACCCUGGGCAAGUCCCUCAACCCUAUUGCCUCAGUUUCCUCAUCUAUAGAAUGAGCUGCA